Dermacentor andersoni is the source of this 920-nucleotide long non-coding RNA. RefSeq lists it as uncharacterized. The record is from RefSeq and is a predicted model, not a curated record. Lineage: Eukaryota; Metazoa; Arthropoda; Arachnida; Ixodida; Ixodidae.
AUCCGAGGUGUCCUGGUUCGACGUCCUGUUCGUGAAUUGCAAUCACUGCAAAGUCAUGAAAAGAGGAGGAGUUGCCGACGCGCAGUGUUCGCUGUGGGUGCGCCAGGCAGCUCUGCGGCGAGGCGUGCCUCAAUAUUGCCAUUUUGUGUACGACCUGCUCUGCGGUCCUUCGCCCAAGUACCAGAUAUCGGACGCCGGCUGCCUCUGCGAAGACUCCAAACUGGCCCAUUGUUAAUCCAACAGCAUCGACAGGUGGUCAACCUCCGUGCAGGAUCUGAUCGACGACGACGAGACUGCUUCCAACUGCUGCGGGUUAUGAAGACAGUCUUGGGAAUUGUUUAUUUAAGUCCCAGUGCGUUGCGUAUUUUUGCACGUGCGCGGGCUGUCACGCGCUCUUUAGGUAGCGCGCUUUCUUGUGGCAACUGCUUGAAUUCCGCUUUCUUUUAUUGCGUUGCGAUUAAAACUCAGAUCCUUUGAAAUUGUGUGGUUUGACGUCCUAAAAGAACGCACAGGCUUUGGGGGACGCCAAAGCGGGGGGCUCCGAAUUCACUGCGCCCACUUGAGGUUCUUGCACCUAAAUUUGUGUACCCGAUAACUUUUCCGCAUACAGCCUCCAUCAGAAAGCGGCGGCCGUGGCCGAUAAUUGAACCUAAAAAUGUAAGAACGAUUGGUACGGGGCAACGAUGAAAAGUGCAAGUGCUUUCAAUGGUUCGCGGGAACGUGCAGGUCAGAAUACUUCGCGCGACUGCGACUUCGUCAAACAAUGUUUCCACGUGGUGGUUAGGCUGGGCAAAGAAAGGUUCCCUUUGAAAUUUCGGGGCUCUUUCACCGAGAGAUAUGCGAGAGCUUAUGCGGUUGUCCCUCUUCGUAUCUCUUUAUGUGACUCGUUUAUGUAAAACGCUGUUGUUUGACCUGUUCAA